RNAcentral lists this ribosomal RNA (494 nucleotides) under uncultured bacterium. RNAcentral's name for it is "partial 16S ribosomal RNA". It matches the Rfam family "Bacterial small subunit ribosomal RNA", at positions 28 to 506 of the family's 1533-position model. The record is from RNAcentral.
GACGAACGCUGGCGGCGUGCCUAAUACAUGCAAGUAGAACGCUGAAGGAGGAGCUUGCUUCUCUGGAUGAGUUGCGAACGGGUGAGUAACGCGUAGGUAACCUGCCUGGUAGCGGGGGAUAACUAUUGGAAACGAUAGCUAAUACCGCAUAAGAGUAGAUGUUGCAUGACAUUUGCUUAAAAGGUGCAAUUGCAUCACUACCAGAUGGACCUGCGUUGUAUUAGCUAGUUGGUGGGGUAACGGCUUACCAAGGCGACGAUACAUAGCCGACCUGAGAGGGUGAUCGGCCACACUGGGACUGAGACACGGCCCAGACUCCUACGGGAGGCAGCAGUAGGGAAUCUUCGGCAAUGGACGGAAGUCUGACCGAGCAACGCCGCGUGAGUGAAGAAGGUUUUCGGAUCGUAAAGCUCUGUUGUAAGAGAAGAACGAGUGUGAGAGUGGAAAGUUCACACUGUGACGGUAUCUUACCAGAAAGGGACGGCUAACUACGU